This 677-nucleotide long non-coding RNA is filed under the name Mus musculus (house mouse). RNAcentral's name for it is "predicted gene, 26680". The record is from RNAcentral. Lineage: Eukaryota; Metazoa; Chordata; Mammalia; Rodentia; Muridae.
AGAAUUCUGACACGGAGGCAUGUGCCUAUGAGAUCUUCUUUUCAGGCCUCCAUCCUUCCUGGCCCACCUUUAGUACUGAGGAAUUACAGCAGAAAACAUGAAGAAUUGGUGCUUGCUGACUUGCCUGGGAUUGUAAGUUGUAUCCUGGUACUCUGAGCCUCAUGGAUUUGGGAAGGGAAAUUCUCCCUCAAUGGAACGACUUCCAUCCAAGACUGUUCUGCUCUUCAUCUCCAGAAAGAAGCAAAGGACCUCAAAUCUCAGCAUGUACACCAGUAGGAUCAGGCUGAACAGUUUCAAGCAUUGUGUUUCAGUCCUCAGAGCCACCAUACAAGCUAUGGGAAUUCUGAUGGAUGCAAGUUCAGCUCCAAGCAACUCAAUCUCUCAAUGAGUAAAAUCCAAGACAAAGUACAAGGCAAAGCUUUACUGAGCAGAGGUAGCAGGAAAUGCAAUGGUGGCAGGCAAUGAGGAAAACAACCUGGAAUGCUUAGAAGACACAGUGAGCCACCUGACCUUCCAGUGGUCCUUCACAAUUCACCAAGAGCAGAAAAGGGACAUAAACACAAGGACUUUAUACAGCAAUGUCCUCCUUACCUCCAUAUACCAUAUCCCUUAUAUUUGCUCUAAAGAUUUCAAUGAGAAUUAAUAGUUUUAUCUCUAGUCAGUUAAAAAUCUGACCC